RNAcentral lists this ribosomal RNA (324 nucleotides) under uncultured eukaryote. RNAcentral's name for it is "partial 18S ribosomal RNA". It matches the Rfam family "Eukaryotic small subunit ribosomal RNA", at positions 1470 to 1796 of the family's 1831-position model. The record is from RNAcentral.
CCCUUAGAUGUUCUGGGCUGCACGCGCGCUACACUGAAGCGUUCAACGAGUAUUCACCUUGCCCGGGAGGGUUGGGUAAUCUUUUGAAAACGCUUCGUGAUGGGGAUAGAUUAUUGCAAUUAUUAAUCUUCAACGAGGAAUUCCUAGUAAGCGCGAGUCAUCAGCUCGUGCUGAUUACGUCCCUGCCCUUUGUACACACCGCCCGUCGCUCCUACCGAUUGAACGAUCCGGUGAAUUAUUUGGAGUAGCUCUGGAAGUUGCAGAACUUCCUAUGUCACGAAAUUUUGUAAACCUUAUCGUUUAGAGGAAGGAAAAGUCGUAACA